UACGUAGGGGGCAAGCGUUGUCCGGAAUUACUGGGCGUAAAGGGUGCGUAGGCGGCUUUCUAAGUUGGAUGUGAAAACUCUGGGCUCAACCCAGAGCCUGCAUCCAAAACUGGAGAGCUAGGGUUCUGGAGGGGAAAGCGGAAUUCCUGGUGUAGCGGUGAAAUGCGUAGAUAUCAGGAGGAACACCGGUGGCGAAGGCGGCUUUCUGGACAGAUACCGACGCUGAGGCACGAAAGCUAGGGGAGCAAACAGG
This 253-nucleotide ribosomal RNA is filed under the name uncultured bacterium. RNAcentral describes it as "partial 16S ribosomal RNA". It matches the Rfam family "Bacterial small subunit ribosomal RNA", at positions 524 to 776 of the family's 1533-position model. The record is from RNAcentral.